UACAGAGGGUGCGAGCGUUAAUCGGGAUUACUGGGCGUAAAGCGCGCGUAGGCGGCUUUGCAAGUCGGGUGUGAAAUCCCCAGGCUUAACCUGGGAACUGCAUUCGAGACUGCAUUGCUAGAGUAUGGGAGAGGGAAGUGGAAUUUCCGGUGUAGCGGUGAAAUGCGUAGAUAUCGGAAGGAACAUCAGUGGCGAAAGCGACUUCCUGGACCAAUACUGACGCUCAUGUGCGAAAGCGUGGGGAGCAAACAGG
This 253-nucleotide ribosomal RNA is filed under the name uncultured bacterium. RNAcentral describes it as "partial 16S ribosomal RNA". It matches the Rfam family "Bacterial small subunit ribosomal RNA", at positions 524 to 776 of the family's 1533-position model. The record is from RNAcentral.